GAGAUUUCAACACCCCACUCUCAUCAAUGGACAGAUCAUGGAAACAGAAAUUAAACAGUGAUGUCGACAGACUAAGAGAAGUCAUGAGCCAAAUGGACUUAACGGAUAUUUAUAGAACAUUCUAUCCUAAAGCAAAAGGAUAUACCUUCUUCUCAGCUCCUCAUGGUACUUUCUCCAAAAUUGACCAUAUAAUUGGUCAAAAAACGGGCCUCAACAGGUACAGAAAGAUAGAAAUAAUCCCAUGCGUGCUAUCGGACCACCACGGCCUAAAACUGGUCUUCAAUAACAAUAAGGGAAGAAUGCCCACAUAUACGUGGAAAUUGAACAAUGCUCUACUCAAUGAUAACCUGGUCAAGGAAG
Molecule: long non-coding RNA, 360 nt
Filed under: Rattus norvegicus (Norway rat)
Lineage: Eukaryota; Metazoa; Chordata; Mammalia; Rodentia; Muridae
Description: long non-coding RNA NONRATT030811
Source: RNAcentral